CGCAAAGCUGCAUCUUAUUCCACCAAUGAUGACUCUGCCACACAUGACUCUGCCAAUGCUCCCAAGUCCACUCCUCAAGCCACUACUCCGCGCGUGAUGACAGGCCAUGAACUUCUGCUUAGUCUUCACCAGAAGGUGGAUCGAAAUCACAAAUGGGUUAAGCGUCAGUUUGGUUCACUUCUUCACAACAUGACUGCCACACACAAUGCAGUGAAGAAAAACCACUACUACCUCCAUCAAGUCUUCGGUCACACCUGGGCAAUCCUGUCACAUCUAUAUGGUGAAGAAGAUCUAAAGAACAUGGGUCUCAAAGAAGAUUUUUACUGGUCUACACCUCCACCGAAGAAAUUCAAGAAGGUCCAAGUUCCUUCUCUGGUGGCCAGCUCAUUUUCUACAUCGCGCGACACUAAUGAACAUGAAGAUUUGGACGACACUGCGGCAGGCCCUACAUCAACC
RNAcentral lists this ribosomal RNA (456 nucleotides) under Triticum aestivum (bread wheat). RNAcentral describes it as "partial small subunit ribosomal RNA". Lineage: Eukaryota; Viridiplantae; Streptophyta; Magnoliopsida; Poales; Poaceae. The record is from RNAcentral.